Molecule: small RNA, 104 nt
Filed under: Clostridiaceae bacterium BL-3
Lineage: Bacteria; Bacillati; Bacillota; Clostridia; Eubacteriales; Clostridiaceae
Description: ykkC-yxkD
Rfam family: Guanidine-I riboswitch aptamer
About the family: This family represents a conserved RNA structure found upstream of the ykkC and yxkD genes in Bacillus subtilis and related genes in other bacteria. The function of this family is unclear although it has been suggested that it may function to switch on efflux pumps and detoxification systems in response to harmful environmental molecules.
Source: RNAcentral
UUUUAAGUUUUAUAGGGUUCCGCAGUUUGAAAUUUAUGACUGGUCAGGUCCAAGAUGAAACACACAACUUAUUGUGUUCACGGAGGGAUAAAAGCCCGGGAGAU